GACGAACGCUGGCGGCGUGCUUAACACAUGCAAGUCGAACGGAAAGGCCCUGCUUUUGUGGGGUGCUCGAGUGGCGAACGGGUGUGUAACACGUGAGUAACCUGCCCUUGACUUUGUGAUAACUUCAGGAAACUGGGGCUAAUACCGGAUAGGAGCUCCUGCUGCAUGGUGGGGGUUGGAAAGCUUAGGCGGUUGGGGAUGGACUGGCGGGUUAUCAGCUUGUUGGUGGGGUAGUGGCCUACCAAGGCUUUGACGGGUAGCCGGCAUGGGAGGGUGAACAGCCACAUUGGGACUGAGAUACGGCCCAGAGUCCUACGGGGGGCAGCAGUGGGGAGUAUUGCACAAUGGGCGGAAGCCUGAUGCAGCGACGCCGCGUGCGGAAUGACGGCCUUCGGGUUGUAAACCGCUUUAGCCUGUGACGAAGCGUGAGUGACGGUAAUGGGUAAAGAAGCACCGGCUAACUACGUG
RNAcentral lists this ribosomal RNA (468 nucleotides) under uncultured bacterium. RNAcentral's name for it is "partial 16S ribosomal RNA". It matches the Rfam family "Bacterial small subunit ribosomal RNA", at positions 28 to 507 of the family's 1533-position model. The record is from RNAcentral.